This is a non-coding RNA of Pogona vitticeps (central bearded dragon), 633 nucleotides long. NCBI's taxonomy places the organism in Eukaryota, Metazoa, Chordata, Lepidosauria, Squamata, Agamidae. The record is from RefSeq and is a predicted model, not a curated record.
CUCCAUCUCUCUGUUCCAGCUUCCCUCACCCUUCUCCAGGUUCAAGAAAUAGAUCACAUAUGUUUGGCGGAUGUGGGAGAAGAUAUGGAGAACCUAGUGAAAGCAGAGAUGUGGGCAAGAUCCUAGAAAAAUGCUCCCCUCCUCCCUUUUUGGCAGUCAGGAGUUCAUGGGCCAGGAAGAAGUGGAACCAAAGAGAUGCUUUUGGACAGGGAAACCGAACACCAGGGUUCUGAGCAGAGAAGGACCUCUGGAUUUCUCCUUCCACUGCUUUGAGUCCAGCAGCUGCAGCUGCAGUAGGAUUUUUCAGCUGCUUAAAUAAUGUCCAACAGAGUGUCAGACAGAGCUGCAUAGCUGUCCCAUGGAGAUUAAAAUGUUAAAACAGAAAAACACUGGAUCUGACCUGGCUUUAACACUAUGGACGGCCACGACCAAUACCUUCUGCUCAAAGUCAUCAACAUGCUUUGUAAAAAAACCCAACUGUUUCUUUCAUCCAUCUUAAGGAAAGCCCCUGAAUACUCACCUCACAAAAAUCAUCUUUCUUUGUAACAAGGGUUUAUUGAUCAAACAAUGUACAUCUGCAUUUGCCCAGCUAUGGGUGAGGCCAGAGUUAGAGAAAUAAAGAAUAUGAAAAUA